RNAcentral lists this ribosomal RNA (422 nucleotides) under uncultured bacterium. RNAcentral describes it as "bacterial SSU rRNA". It matches the Rfam family "Bacterial small subunit ribosomal RNA", at positions 361 to 775 of the family's 1533-position model. The record is from RNAcentral.
AUUUUGGACAAUGGGCGCAAGCCUGAUCCAGCAAUGCCGCGUGCAGGAUGAAGGCCUUCGGGUUGUAAACUGCUUUUGUACGGAACGAAAAGGCUCUGGUUAAUACCUGGGGCUCAUGACGGUACCGUAAGAAUAAGCACCGGCUAACUACGUGCCAGCAGCCGCGGUAAUACGUAGGGUGCGAGCGUUAAUCGGAAUUACUGGGCGUAAAGCGUGCGCAGGCGGUAAUGCAAGACAGAUGUGAAAUCCCCGGGCUUAACCUGGGAACUGCAUUUGUGACUGCAUUGCUGGAGUGCGGCAGAGGGGGAUGGAAUUCCGCGUGUAGCAGUGAAAUGCGUAGAUAUGCGGAGGAACACCGAUGGCGAAGGCAAUCCCCUGGGCCUGCACUGACGCUCAUGCACGAAAGCGUGGGGAGCAAACAG